CAGUCUGUACUCGAGACACAGCUGUACGAGGCCUGUGUCACUGCUCAGCCAGGAACACCCGUGCGACCUUGGGCAAAUCCUCUCCUUCUUUGGCCUUGUGUUCUAUCUGUCCAGUGGGAGUGAGGGAGAGAGCGUUUCUGCGUGGUCUCUUAAGCCUUUCUGGAACUUUCCAGAAAUCCCAGUGAAGAUUUUGAAGAGGUUGGCCCUCUGUUGGAGGCCAGUGGAGAUGGACCUACUUAUACAUCCAGAUGGCCCCCUUCAGUCUGACAGCCAAAGCACAGGUCUCUAGCCGCCAUUCUCGGACCCCUGGACCAGUCCAAGGAAGCUGUAAGACUCCCCAAAAUCAGGAAAUGAAGUAGUCAGGGAUUCAAAGUGCAGCCAGGCACCAUGUAUGUGGCCCUGUUUGGAGUAAGAACAGAGUACAAAUACAUUUUAAUUGACCCCCAUCAAAUGACACUGCCCGUCUGUGCGCUUAAUAAAGAGGAAAGAACUCUGCUCAGGUCUGAUCACAGCCUUCAAGGCCUCAUAAAGCCAGUGAGCUCUGAGGUGAAAGACACUACACACUCACCUGUGGGCUGGGACAAUGUUAUGAGGCUUUCAAAUCUCAUAGAGAAAAAGCCUCUUCUAUCAAAUAUACAUAAAAACAUGAGAACAUCUCCCAAACAAGCUAAGGCAGACAGCUCUGUCUUUAUCUACUUUGAAAUCGCUGUUGCUGAAUUUGUGGUCAAAGAUACAUUUUAACUCACCACCAUUAAGUUAUACAGCCCAUAGGUGCACUUUAUCAAGAGGGGAAAAUCUUUGUUCGGAGUCUAGAAUUCUGAGAGUCUUAUAAGCCUUAAAAUUCUGUGACGAAAGGGACUACCCACUUUAUACUUUAUAAAUCAGACUGAUACGAUUUACAGCUCCGAAAUCAUCUUACUUAGAACCCAAGUAUUUAUCUCUCCCCUUGAGAGGGAAAAAAAAAAAAUCAAACUAGCUCUGAAGCCCAGAGCCAGCAGAGGUGUCAUCUGCCACAAAUGUCAUGGCUGUCCUGGAUUUUGCAUGAAAUAUAUAAAUUAUUACAACAGAAAACUAACAUAAGAUAUCAAGCAUUUAUGCCUAAAACUUAGAAUUCAAUGAGUCAACGACUCCUUAAAAAAAAAAAAAUAUCCUGGUAGGCAUCAUGAUCCCAUUUACAGGCAUGAAUACUGACAUUCAGAGAAGCUAUGUAACUCUUCCAAGGCCACACAGCUAACAAGGGGCCAAGCUGGGAUCUCAUCCCAGGCAGGUUCUCCAGGAGAAUAUACUUAGUACAGUGUCUGGCACAGAGUUCACACUUAGAAUUGUUUCUAUCUGCUUUCUCCCCUAAAAAUGAUUCUUGCCUAGAUUUGGGCAAGGUGGUCUCAGGGAUCCCCUAACCCACAGGGUGGAGUUGACUUCCACUGAAGAAGCUCACAGGCCUCCUGUGGGGUUCCCCCAUCCCCACUGAGCCAAAGGAUUUGUCAACUUUUGUUUUUUCUUUAUAGACAGAGACACAGGUAUGGAAUCAAAUCAUGUCUGAAGCACUGAAAAUCCACAGUACCAAGGGCAGAGGAGAGGUGGCCUGGUUCACUCAGUGGUAGAACUGUCCCCUCCCCUACCUUGGAUUCCACUCGCCCACCCCAGGUUGGAUGAUGUCCACCGGUGCCGGGGAGAGCGACUCGAGUUAGUUUACACAUUCAAUACCACUCCCUCUAGACGUGCCUGGAAACGUUUCACCUGCUAUCUGCAUAUCACAUGAUACAGUCAAGGUGACACAUAAAAUUGGCCACCAUAACCAUUACAGCUAUGACCGUUAUAAAAAAAUGUUCUGGGAUGAAUUUUUCUGUUUGUUUCCCUCCUAAGAAGAUUGGACUCAUUAUGGGUAUUGAAUCACGUCUCAUCCAUGUUGUUUGAGAUAGAAAUUCGGUUUAUUCUCUCAAAGGAUUUAGUGCUCUCGGUUCCCAGGAGUCCUAGUCCUUGAACUACCUUCCAAACCCCAAGGGGAAUGUCACAAAUAAAACCCUUUUCAGUUCUUACUCUUAUC
This 2044-nucleotide long non-coding RNA is filed under the name Marmota monax (woodchuck). The record is from RNAcentral. Lineage: Eukaryota; Metazoa; Chordata; Mammalia; Rodentia; Sciuridae.